CGGGCUGUGGCGGAACUGGUAGACGCGCGAGAAUGAGAGUCUCGUGAGGAGAAAUCCUCGUAAGGGUUCGAGUCCCUUCAGCCCGA
This 86-nucleotide transfer RNA is filed under the name Bacteroidales bacterium. RNAcentral describes it as "tRNA-Leu". It matches the Rfam family "tRNA". Rfam says of the family: Transfer RNA (tRNA) molecules are approximately 80 nucleotides in length. Their secondary structure includes four short double-helical elements and three loops (D, anti-codon, and T loops). The record is from RNAcentral. Lineage: Bacteria; Pseudomonadati; Bacteroidota; Bacteroidia; Bacteroidales.